Molecule: ribosomal RNA, 548 nt
Filed under: Proteus mirabilis
Lineage: Bacteria; Pseudomonadati; Pseudomonadota; Gammaproteobacteria; Enterobacterales; Morganellaceae
Description: bacterial SSU rRNA
Rfam family: Bacterial small subunit ribosomal RNA
Source: RNAcentral
GCGUAAAGCGCACGCAGGCGGUCAAUUAAGUCAGAUGUGAAAGCCCCGAGCUUAACUUGGGAAUUGCAUCUGAAACUGGUUGGCUAGAGUCUUGUAGAGGGGGGUAGAAUUCCAUGUGUAGCGGUGAAAUGCGUAGAGAUGUGGAGGAAUACCGGUGGCGAAGGCGGCCCCCUGGACAAAGACUGACGCUCAGGUGCGAAAGCGUGGGGAGCAAACAGGAUUAGAUACCCUGGUAGUCCACGCUGUAAACGAUGUCGAUUUAGAGGUUGUGGUCUUGAACCGUGGCUUCUGGAGCUAACGCGUUAAAUCGACCGCCUGGGGAGUACGGCCGCAAGGUUAAAACUCAAAUGAAUUGACGGGGGCCCGCACAAGCGGUGGAGCAUGUGGUUUAAUUCGAUGCAACGCGAAGAACCUUACCUACUCUUGACAUCCAGCGAAUCCUUUAGAGAUAGAGGAGUGCCUUCGGGAACGCUGAGACAGGUGCUGCAUGGCUGUCGUCAGCUCGUGUUGUGAAAUGUUGGGUUAAGUCCCGCAACGAGCGCAACCCU